Molecule: long non-coding RNA, 1353 nt
Filed under: Vigna radiata
Lineage: Eukaryota; Viridiplantae; Streptophyta; Magnoliopsida; Fabales; Fabaceae
Description: long non-coding RNA (VRAD_LNC003165)
Source: RNAcentral
UCUUUUGUGCAAGCAAAAUCCAUGAAGCUUGAUGAUAUGUCGAUGCUUUAUUUCUGAUAAUACUUUGGCUUCGUUUCUGAAACUCUCAUCAAACNUGGGGACCUUUGCUUCAAAGCCAUGAAGUUUUUUCACCGCAACAAUCUUGCCACUUGGAAGUUGAGCCCUAUAAACACUCCCGUAGGCACCUGUUCCAAUACAAUAUUUGAGGUCAAAGUCUUCAGUUACUGCAAUGAUGUCUUCAUAGGCUAUGCUUUCGUCAUAGUUCCAUAUGCAAAAAUAGUCUCCAUUCUUAGAUGUUUUACUUAUUCUUGCAUGUUUGUUCUUGAUUUCCAUUUGAUUUUUCCUCAAAUGUAGAAGCAGAAAGAAGGUCAUUAUCAGAAAAAUGGUGAUAAAAAUUGUUAUGACCAACUGAUUAUGCCUUAGUUUCUUGCCUUGGAUUGAACAAGGCUUGAAUUUGUAAAUGGUUUGGAUAUCCGAAAUGUUGCUGCAUACACCCUCGUUCCCCACUAACACAGAUGGAUGUAAACCAUCUGGAAUAGGACCCUGAAAAUUAUUGAAGCCUAGAUCCAAACUUUCUAAGAGUGACAAAUAUUGAACUGUGAAGGGUUUUAGAGAACCGGUAAGUCGAUUGUGUGAAAUGUCAAGAUGUUGAAGGUUCCUAAGGUUUGAAAGGGAAAUGGGGAAGGUUCCAUUGAUUUUGUUGUAAGAUACAUCUAAAACAUUGAGAUUUACCAGGAAUGACAAUUCAAAAGGUAUAGGGCCCUGAAUAUAGUUGUUAGAGAUGAUUAGGCUACUUAAUUGGGUUAGAUUUCCUAUUGUAGGAGGUAUUUCCCCAUGAAUAGAAUUAUGGGAUAAAUAAAUAAAAGUAAGUCCUACAAGAUUUCCUAUGGUAGGAGGCAUCUUCCCAUUAAGAGAAUUGUGGGACAAAUCAAGAUAAGUGAGUGUGGAAAGAUUUCCUACAGUUGAAGGUAUUUCACCUUGAAGAGAAUUGUAGGAUAAAUCAAGGUAAGCGAGUUCAGAAAGAUUUCCUACCGUGAGAGGUGUUUCACCUUGAAGAAAAUUGUAUGACAAAUCAAGAUAAGUGAGUUUGGAAAUAUUUCCAACUGUAAGAGGUGUUUCACCUUGAAUAGAAUUGUCGAACAAAUCAAGAUAAGUGAGUUUGGAAAGAGUUCCCAUUGUAGGGGGUAUUUCUCCAUAAAUAUAAUUGUGGGACAAAUCAAGAUAAGUGAGUUUGGAAAGAUUUCCUAUUGUAGGAGGUAUCUCACCAAAAAUAGAAUUGUGGGACAAUUCAAGAUGAGUGAGUUUGGAAAGAUUUCCUAUUGUAGGAGGUAUCUCACCAAAAAUAGAAUUGUG